RNAcentral lists this long non-coding RNA (531 nucleotides) under Rattus norvegicus (Norway rat). RNAcentral describes it as "long non-coding RNA NONRATT033919". Lineage: Eukaryota; Metazoa; Chordata; Mammalia; Rodentia; Muridae. The record is from RNAcentral.
AUCAGAUGUGUCCCAAGGUCCAGGCCAGGCCCUAAAUAGAUGAGGCUGAUGGCCCAGAGGGUGUAGCACAAUCUAGUGGUCCUCAGUGUGGUCCUCUGAAUUUGACUGAACUUAGGAUAACCAUUCAGCUGGAGAUGCUUUGCCUCAUCCAACCAUUUAGAGGACAUUUUGGCUCCUUUAGAAGAUGGAAGCAGAAGGAUUAAGACAUUAGGGCCAACCUUGGCUAUAUAACAAGUUUGAGGCCAACCCGCCCUAUUCAGUAUUUUGAAACAAGCAAGCAAGCAAACAAAUAAAUAAGCCAACACAUUCUGGAGUUUGAGGAUGCAGCUCAAUUGGUAGAAUAUGUGUUUAGCAUACACAGAGCUUUGAAUUUAAUCCCCGGCAGUGCUUAAAGCUGAGCGUAGUAGUGUAUGCCUGUAAUCCCAGCACUAAGGAGGUAGGAGGAUAGCCCUGAGUUAGAGACUAGAGACCACAGAGUUAGUUCCAGGCCAGCUUGGAUGUAGGACAAGACUGUGGAACACUCUUCAAAAA